RNAcentral lists this ribosomal RNA (429 nucleotides) under uncultured bacterium. RNAcentral's name for it is "bacterial SSU rRNA". It matches the Rfam family "Bacterial small subunit ribosomal RNA", at positions 29 to 507 of the family's 1533-position model. The record is from RNAcentral.
AACGAACGCUGGCGGCAGGCUUAACACAUGCAAGUCGAACGCCCCGCAAGGGGAGUGGCAGACGGGUGAGUAACGCGUGGGAAUCUACCCAGUUCUACGGAACAACUGAGGGAAACUUCAGCUAAUACCGUAUACGCCCUACGGGGGAAAGAUUUAUCGGAAUUGGAUGAGCCCGCGUUGGAUUAGCUAGUUGGUGAGGUAACGGCUCACCAAGGCGACGAUCCAUAGCUGGUCUGAGAGGAUGAUCAGCCACACUGGGACUGAGACACGGCCCAGACUCCUACGGGAGGCAGCAGUGGGGAAUAUUGGACAAUGGGCGCAAGCCUGAUCCAGCCAUGCCGCGUGAGUGAUGAAGGCCUUAGGGUUGUAAAGCUCUUCAGUGGGGACGAUAAUGACGGUACCCACAGAAGAAGCCCCGGCUAACUCGUG